Molecule: ribosomal RNA, 253 nt
Filed under: uncultured bacterium
Lineage: Bacteria
Description: partial 16S ribosomal RNA
Rfam family: Bacterial small subunit ribosomal RNA
Source: RNAcentral
UACAGAGGGGGCGAGCGUUGUUCGGAAUUACUGGGCGUAAAGCGCGUGUAGGCGGCUCUGCAAGUCAGGUGUGAAAUCCCACGGCUCAACCAUGGAAGUGCACUUGAAACUGCAGGGCUAGAGUCCUGGAGAGGAAGGUGGAAUGCUUGGUGUAGAGGUGAAAUUCGUAGAUAUCAAGCGGAACACCGGUGGCGAAGGCGGCCUUCUGGACAGUGACUGACGCUGAGACGCGAAAGCGUGGGGAGCAAACAGG